Molecule: ribosomal RNA, 440 nt
Filed under: uncultured bacterium
Lineage: Bacteria
Description: bacterial SSU rRNA
Rfam family: Bacterial small subunit ribosomal RNA
Source: RNAcentral
ACGCGAGGAACCUUACCAGGUCUUGACAUCCCAUUGACCGCUAUGGAGACAUAGCUUUCCCUUUUAGGGACAGUGGUGACAGGUGGUGCAUGGUUGUCGUCAGCUCGUGUCGUGAGAUGUUGGGUUAAGUCCCGCAACGAGCGCAACCCUUGUUCUUAGUUGCCAUCAUUUAGUUGGGCACUCUAAGGAGACUGCCGGUGACAAACCGGAGGAAGGUGGGGAUGACGUCAAAUCAUCAUGCCCCUUAUGACCUGGGCUACACACGUGCUACAAUGGACGGUACAAACGGUUGCCAACCCGCGAGGGGGAGCUAAUCCGAUAAAACCGUUCUCAGUUCGGAUUGUAGGCUGCAACUCGCCUACAUGAAGCCGGAAUCGCUAGUAAUCGCGGAUCAGCAUGCCGCGGUGAAUACGUUUCCGGGCCUUGCACACACCGCCCGU